RNAcentral lists this ribosomal RNA (425 nucleotides) under uncultured bacterium. RNAcentral describes it as "bacterial SSU rRNA". It matches the Rfam family "Bacterial small subunit ribosomal RNA", at positions 356 to 773 of the family's 1533-position model. The record is from RNAcentral.
AGGGAAUCUUCCGCAAUGGACGAAAGUCUGACGGAGCAACGCCGCGUGAGUGAUGAAGGCCUUCGGGUCGUAAAACUCUGUUGUUAGGGAAGGACAAGUAUCGGAGUAACUGCCGGUACCUUGACGGUACCUAACCAGAAAGCCACGGCUAACUAAGUGCCAGCAGCCGCGGUAAUACGUAGGUGGCAAGCGUUGUCCGGAAUUAUUGGGCGUAAAGCGCGCGCAGGCGGUCCUUUAAGUCUGAUGUGAAAGCCCACGGCUCAAGCGUGGAGGGUCAUUGGAAACUGGGGGACUUGAGUGCAGAAGAGGAAAGCGGAAUUCCACGUGUAGCGGUGAAAUGCGUAGAGAUGUGGAGGAACACCAGUGGCGAAGGCGACUUUCUGGACUGUAACUGACACUGAGGCUCGAAAGCGUGGGGAGCAAAC